GAGGAGCCAACUACGACGGGAAAAGACCCGAAUUGUAGUUGCAUAAUGGGUCCAUACUUGACGGAGAGAUCGUGGAUGGAUCGGUGAGGAAGGCUGCCAAUAAGGUUUAAAUUUCCGAUGAUCGGCCAUGGUUUUGGGCCUGGAGGUAAGUUGAGUUUCCUCUGCCGAAGAAAUUUGGAGAGAAGCAAAAGAAACAGAGUAGCAAGAAAUAUUGCAGCAUAUGCAGUCCAGGUAGUACCUUCCAUUGUGUUGAUUGUACUUUUGGUAGUUGAUUUUGGUUGGAAGAAGAGUG
Molecule: long non-coding RNA, 292 nt
Organism: Solanum verrucosum
Lineage: Eukaryota; Viridiplantae; Streptophyta; Magnoliopsida; Solanales; Solanaceae
Exons: 2
Source: RefSeq, a predicted model, not a curated record